GUGUCAGCCGCCGUGGUAAUACGAAGGGGGCUAGCGUUGCUCGGAAUCACUGGGCGUAAAGGGCGCGUAGGCGGCGUUUUAAGUCGGGGGUGAAAGCCUGUGGCUCAACCACAGAAUGGCCUUCGAUACUGGGACGCUUGAGUAUGGUAGAGGUUGGUGGAACUGCGAGUGUAGAGGUGAAAUUCGUAGAUAUUCGCAAGAACACCGGUGGCGAAGGCGGCCAACUGGACCAUUACUGACGCUGAGGCGCGAAAGCGUGGGAGCAAACAGGAUUAGAUACCCUCGUAGUCC
This 291-nucleotide ribosomal RNA is filed under the name uncultured Methylobacterium sp. RNAcentral's name for it is "partial 16S ribosomal RNA". It matches the Rfam family "Bacterial small subunit ribosomal RNA", at positions 505 to 796 of the family's 1533-position model. The record is from RNAcentral. Lineage: Bacteria; Pseudomonadati; Pseudomonadota; Alphaproteobacteria; Hyphomicrobiales; Methylobacteriaceae.